UUCAAAAGCAUAUGUUAGAUUUAACUUGUGCUGUCGUCAAAACCAACUAAGAAAUAAACACAUUUCUGCCCUUUAUGCCAGAAAAAUCUCUGCAGGAAUCCAAAUAUAUUAGAAAACAGGGCAGUGGUUAUAGUCCAUAAAUAGAGCAGUAUGGGGCUUUGUAUUAUAGCAUCUUCUUUUGAUUUGACACCAGCUGUGGUAGCUGUUUGAUGUGAGCGGAGACGCCGUCUGUAUCCUCACAAAUUAGGACACAUUUGCAGGAAUGGAUGUGUCAUUACGCCACAACGGCUCCAUUUUAUUUGAUCGAAUUUAAAUUAGGUGGGAUGUGUAUUUGUGCAAGAACAUGCCACAAUUAACUGCUAUUGAAAAUGCAAGCCUGUCUUUUUCUGGCACCUGGUCUGACAGCAACACUAAACUCCAGUCAGACAGGAAAACUGGUUUGUCUGGUUGCAUUUGGUUUGCUUUUACUUCAUUUUCCAUUUAAGGACUUUAAGGACAGUUUACACCAUUAUCACCUUUAUUAGCUUAUUUAGUGUAGUGAGAUCACGUAACUACCAGCACAGCUUCACCCAACUUCUGCCUGACUUGAUGUCUAAUCAGUCAGUAACUGAAAACAAUUAAAUUAGAUUAGCUGUGUUUUGUCGUUGUCCCUGCAAAGAGCACAUUGUUUACCUGUAACGCCUCCGCUGAAGCACCUUUUGUCGGCAUUUUUGUCUUAACAGGAGCUCUGUCACUUUAUUGACAGGGGAAUGUAGAGUGUCCUGGAUUUCUGUUGCACCAGUCUACUUAAUCUUGUCACCCUAUAUGGUGUCGGGAUAUUAGUCCUACUUUGGUCCGUCUUCACACAGAAAAUCUGAGACACAAUGUAAUUUUUGUACAGAAGAUGGGAUUUUUUUGUGAGAGCAGACAAUAUCAUGGCAACAACCCUGGAGAUUCAGUGAAGAUGUUAGAAGAGUGUCAGGAUAAAGGUGAAGAACUCCAGUGGUUCAUAUUGGACUGGAUUUCCUUCACCUUGCAGAUGUUCUGACUUGAUUCGGUAUCACAAGUCAACAUGACUACAAGCAAGUCAUUCUGCCCAAGGAUUACCAAUGUAAGCUGUCACGCUCAGCUGCACCACAGAUGCGCCUUUGCUUUGCUAAACCGUUUUUAUAAUUGCAUUUUUUAUUUAUGGAAUUUCUGACUAUUAUUGAGCAGUAAAUGGAACAUGGUUAUAGCUCUGUAUACACCCUGUCGAUCAAUUGUGAAGCAGAAAAACUGAAAUGUUGUGAUUACCUACUCUGAAUCUGCUCUGCUUGUGUGAUUUACCGUUGGGGGAGAAAUGAGGCAUACCCUGACUAAGUGUCUUCUUUAUACCUAUAAUUGCAAAAACUUAAUUUAAGAAUUGUUACAGUAUGAGAUCGGAUUUCUUUGCUUCACACACCUGAUUAGUGAACCACAAAACUGGACAUGAUGACUGUAAUGCAUUUGAUUUGACAAUAGCUUGUAAACAGCACUCCAAAUAGUUAGCUAUAGAGCUUUCCACCUUUUAUUACUUUCUUGCUAAAGUAUUGCAACAUCCCCAAGAGAACAUUUUAAAGUACUCACUUUUCAACCAUUUUGAAGUUGCAAGGAAUGGUUUAGUGGCUGAGGUCGGAGAUAUGAACACUAGAUUAGGAUUUUAGAAACAUUUUACUCUAUACUAAUUAGUUCCACUGUUGGACAUUUGAGAAGCAAUUGUCCAAGUGACUUCCUGAAUUUAUCCCACAUUAGUUCUGCAGAAAACAGCUAUAAAAAUAGCUAUUUGAGAUUAAAAAAGAGAGAGAGAAUUAAAAUUUAAACAAGACUAAGAGUCUGCAGCCACACUAGCAGCUCUGUGAGUCUAAGUUUUCGCUUACACCUACAAUAUGAGUUGACCAUGACAGCUUCACUGUUCACAGGAACUGAGAGUUUUCCAGGAAGUUAAAGGUCCAAUUAUGGGGGCUUUAAGAAAGUGUUUCUACUGCUGAACAAUUAGCACCCAGUCUGCAGAUCAAUGCAGCUUAUUGUCCAUACCUCCACGAUCUGACAUUAUAAAGAUCACAAAUCGCUGUCCACAGCACAGCCUUACACAAACUAAUUGUACAUUCAAUAGUAAUUCAAAGCAAGCUAAGAUUGAGCAGUUUUCAAAGAAAUUGGUGGAACAAACCAAGGCUGAAAUGUCUGAAUAUCGGAAGACGUGUUGAGAUAAAGGCCUCCACUGGUAAUUGUAUGCUACGUCAUUAGCCAACUUCAUAAGCCUUAUAAGUGAACAUGAAGGCUCUACAGCUUCAAGUUUGUGCACAAAUGCUUCUAUUUGUGACCAAUGGGGAAAGAAAGAAUCCAAAACAAAGUAUAGAUGUGUGUGUUCAGUGAUGCAUACUAAAGGUAGCCACUGCACAGCUUUCAAAGAGGACUCAACAACACCAAUGGAGACUACAGUUUGUACCACUGAUUCUCCCACUGUGGAUCGAAGAGCUUCUAAACAGCAGCAUGCCCUGCAGGUUAGCUUGAUGAGCAGACAUUAGUGAGGUAUUCAAGAUUGCACCAUGUCACAGUCAGAUAUAAUGAGCUACAUUGCCCGCAGAGCUUUGUGUCUCUCUGUCAUGGCAUGCAGAUAUAUUUAGCAUAUUAAGUUAUGGAUAACGGACGCAUUGAGAAUGUUAAUAGGAUGCUGAUAAUAUUGGUCUGUGGGCUUAAGGGACUGGCUUUGCAUUAUUUCAGAUGAGAAGCACCUAAUGAAACUAGCUUAUAGGUCACUCAAGCUAACAACUGGUACAUUAGCAGACAUGUCUGUAAUAAGAGCAGAACAGAGAGGACGGAAUGGUGGUUUUAGACAGACAAAGCUAAAAAGCUGGAAAAAUAAAUUAAACAUUUAACUUUGUUAAAAUCAUCGACGUUUCAACUUCCAAUACCAAGUGCGGCAGUGGACGCAGAUUUCUCUUAGAAUAUGGAAAGUAAACCUCAAGAACAUGCUUUAUAUUUUCCAGAAGGACCUAUGAAAGAAAUGCUGAAUGAGAGAUUGCAUUGAGUUACAGAAGCUGGUGGAACAGAAGCUGACCCGCAUGUGACAUCAGGACUUUGGCUCUCUAUAACAGCACAACUCCUACAGGUAAAGAAAGUGGGGGGAAUUCAGCUGUAAUGCUCACUGGGAAAAGAGUCAAAAGGGAUCAUUUUCCUUGGCUGUAGAUGGAGUACAUUAGCAUACACUUACAAGCUGUUGCCUCCUUUCCAUAAGGACACAUUACUGACACAGUGUCCUUGUUAGGCUAACAUGGUAACCUUGGUUUGUACAAAUUAAUAUUUUAGUCAGUUAGGUAAGAGAAAGUGCUUUAGUGAUUUUACUACAACUAAAACGUCUUUGAGAGUAAAUGUCUGCUAUGAAGAGGACAUGGUUGGGCUUCUUCAUUAUCAGUUGAGUUGAAAUGGAAAUCAAAGGCACAGUGAACAUUUACAGUACAGCUUGAAUCAUUUCUGAAGUUUCUUUAAUAGAGUAUUAUCUUAAGAAAACUAUUUUAUAAAGUUAGACUUUAAGAAAUCCAGAUAGAAUAGACUCAACCUUGGUAGAGGAUUCAGUAAUGUACAACCCCGCUGUAUACUGAUAGUUGUUAAAGUGAGGUUUCACUUUAGUAGAGUGUUGUGGUUUUUCGCCAGGUGCAUCAUGUUCUUAACAGUUACAGUAAUAUAAUCUAGUCUUGGAAUUCAGUGUCAACACCCACAUUCAGGAUUUUUUUUUUUUUGCUUCCCUGCUGCCAACGCUGAUAAGGAAAAACAGGUAAUAUUUCCUCCUGGGGCUUUGCAGGUAGAAUACAGAAGGAUCAAAUAUCACCUAACCUUACCUCGGUUUUCAGAGCUUAACAUUCUUGCACCAGUGUUCACCCUCAUUUUCUACCAGAUGUUAUAUGUUUUUCUUAUGUCUUUUAAUCUUUUUAGGCUGGUAUAAUUCAGGCGUUCUUGUUGUUCCUAUUGGUAAAGUAUACACUCACUAGCUAGUUUCAUGCACCACAAACAGGAUUUUAUAUUUUUUUCACUUUUGUUUUGCCCUGACCCAAGCCUUCCAGGGACUUCCAUUUGCUUCAGUUAAUGGCAGCAAAACUCUGUUUCAUCUGUGAUGACUAAGCUGGUCUGAACAUGGCAGGUGAACAUAGCAGCCUUCAUAAUGGGCACCCAUGCUGUUUAAUAAAAUAGUUCAUUCUCAGCCUACACAACAUUUUCAGUCUUGAUCUACAGUGACUCUUUAACUCUAAAAACAUAAUUAACCCCCACACACACACACACACACACACACACACACACACUUUAGUGUAUAAAUAUUCAUUUCUGUGAUAUAUUCAUUUUUUUACUCAUUAAGUCCAUCAUGAAAUGAGGUUUUCAAAAUAAGAGUUAUGGACCAUAUUGGACAUUGUCCCUAUAUGACAUGUGAAUGUAAAUUUCUACUAAAUUUAUGGAAUGAAGAAGCUCCUUUAUAAGGCUCUACUUCAUGUCUUUUCAGGUUUUCACAGCUAGUCAUGAGAUUUGAACAGGAAACCCUCCGGACGCAUGCUUAAUUGUUAGCAUUCAGAAAUCAAAUCCCCUUAGUAACUGGCAGCAUUACAACAAACCAAUAAAAUAUCAACCUAUAUAAGAGUGGAUGUUCUUCCUUCUUAAAAAGAUUAAAAGAUAUUCUACUUUCUGUAUUGCUAUUGUGUUAUAACUUUGGUCUCUACAAAAAGUAUACUCCAUUGUUUGCUACAAUGCAAAAAAAGUUAUAUCAUAAUACAGAAUCAAUAGUCAUCCUCAAUGGCAGGGUGUUUAAGUAAUACGGGUGAGAUUGAGGAAACCAUAG
This is a long non-coding RNA of Siniperca chuatsi (mandarin fish), 4819 nucleotides long. RefSeq lists it as uncharacterized. The record is from RefSeq and is a predicted model, not a curated record. The transcript has 2 exons. Lineage: Eukaryota; Metazoa; Chordata; Actinopteri; Centrarchiformes; Sinipercidae.